This 642-nucleotide long non-coding RNA is filed under the name Lathyrus oleraceus (garden pea). RNAcentral describes it as "Pisum sativum (pea) long non-coding RNA (PSAT_LNC023532)". The record is from RNAcentral. Lineage: Eukaryota; Viridiplantae; Streptophyta; Magnoliopsida; Fabales; Fabaceae.
UGAACUUCUCCAUCCAUUGUUGUAAGUGUCAGAGCACCGCCUGAAAAGGCUUUCUUGACCAUAUAUGGACAUUCAUAGCUUGGGGGUUCACUUGCCCCUGGAAUCGGGCACGAAAGACAAGACUUUCUUGAGCACAAGGUCACCUUCUCGGAACACGCGAGGCUUGACCUUCUUAUCGAAUGCUUUUUCACUCUCUGCUGAUAUGACUGACCAUGACACAUGGCAGUUGAUCUCUUCUUCUCGAUCGAAUUCAGCAUUAGUCAACUUGGGACUUUGAGGGUGCUAUUUUUUUCUUGGUUUUUUUUUUCUUUCUUUUCUUUCCUUUGAUUUUCUUUUGAUUUCUUUUGAUUUUGCACCCUCCUCUUUCGUUUUUUUUCCUUUUUUUUUGUUUUAUUGUUUUUUUUUGUUAUGCCCCAGUUGGCUGUUCUGCUGAUUCUCGAGAUGCAGCUGAGUGAUCUUCUUUUCUUGCUCAAGAAGUCGGGAAAUCUCGUCAGGAAUCCCUUCAACAUCAUCUUCUUCCGCUUCGAAUACAGGGAAUUCAAAAUUGGGAGAUGACGUCUGAUCACUAUGUUCAAUGGGUUUGAGAAACAACCUGCAUAAAGAUUUUGAGUAUAAAAAGCACUUUGAAAAUCAAACAAGACA